UCUCCUGGGAACGGGUGGUAAUGCCGGAUGCUCCAGUUGAUCGCAUGGUCUUCUGGGAAAGCUUUCGCGGUAUGGGAUGGGGUCGCGUCCUAUCAGCUUGACGGCGGGGUAACGGCCCACCGUGGCUUCGACGGGUAGCCGGCCUGAGAGGGCGACCGGCCACAUUGGGACUGAGAUACGGCCCAGACUCCUACGGGAGGCAGCAGUGGGGAAUAUUGCACAAUGGGCGCAAGCCUGAUGCAGCGACGCCGCGUGAGGGAUGGAGGCCUUCGGGUUGUAAACCUCUUUUAUCGGGGAGCAAGCGAGAGUGAGUUUACCCGUUGAAUAAGCACCGGCUAACUACGUGCCAGCAGCCGCGGUAAUACGUAGGGUGCAAGCGUUAUCCGGAAUUAUUGGGCGUAAAGGGCUCGUAGGCGGUUCGUCGCGUCCGGUGUGAAAGUCCAUCGCUUAACGGUGGAUCCGCGCCGGGUACGGGCGGGCUUGAGUGCGGUAGGGGAGACUGGAAUUCCCGGUGUAACGGUGGAAUGUGUAGAUAUCGGAAAGAACACCA
RNAcentral lists this ribosomal RNA (550 nucleotides) under Bifidobacterium longum. RNAcentral describes it as "bacterial SSU rRNA". It matches the Rfam family "Bacterial small subunit ribosomal RNA", at positions 146 to 711 of the family's 1533-position model. The record is from RNAcentral. Lineage: Bacteria; Bacillati; Actinomycetota; Actinomycetes; Bifidobacteriales; Bifidobacteriaceae.